UUAAGCAGGCUGUGCCAAACUCUGUAGAGUAACCAUUAAGCAUAGUAAAGGAAGUCCUUAUACAGCCUGUUUAUUGAUAUGAAAUAUGAAAUUACUUUACUUAAGGUUGUGAACAUGGCAGAGAAGUUGCUCACUGUAUUUGACCCAAUUGGAAAUGAGGAUGCCUACAACAGGAAAAUUCUGAGGAACUGGCAGUAAAAUGUACAAUAAUUUGGAUAGAUACAUUUUUUCAAGAGAGAAUAAAAAAAAACCCAAUACUUUUAAUGCUGUAAUAGAAACUUCCUGAGGAACAGGUCAAGGGAGGAAUCCAAAUAUGUGUGGACAGUGCACACCAUGGACCACAACAAACAGAUGGAUUUCAGCAGUUGUGGGGUUCUAGUGUUGAAGGUAAUAUUUUACAAGUUUCUGUUUAUGUACUUUGAAGAUUAAGCUAAUAGUAUUUAAUUGUAAAUAUUAUGUAUCUAGAAGAAUGUGUUAUUAUGUAGAUAAUGUAUCAAAUCAAGCACAUAAUUACAUUCAUAAUUCAUUUACAGCACACCGAAGAAUCACUUGUGAGUGGAAACAUAUCUGAUGUGCAGACAACUCCAGAAGCUGUCAGUAAACAAAGGAUGAACAUAGCUUGUAUCUUAAUGAAAAAUAGCUAAAGAAAACCUCAUGUAAAAUCAACCCAAAUAUUCUGUGCUAUAUGUUAUGAUCCUUUCUGUUACUAUUUGUAAAAAUAAAAAUAAUAAAAAACAGUUUGCUGAAAAA
Molecule: long non-coding RNA, 750 nt
Organism: Cynoglossus semilaevis (tongue sole)
Lineage: Eukaryota; Metazoa; Chordata; Actinopteri; Pleuronectiformes; Cynoglossidae
Exons: 2
Source: RefSeq, a predicted model, not a curated record